UGGCUGAGGAUGAGCCUCCUGUUCUCUCC
This 29-nucleotide non-coding RNA is filed under the name Rattus norvegicus (Norway rat). The record is from RNAcentral. Lineage: Eukaryota; Metazoa; Chordata; Mammalia; Rodentia; Muridae.